Molecule: ribosomal RNA, 301 nt
Filed under: uncultured bacterium
Lineage: Bacteria
Description: partial 16S ribosomal RNA
Rfam family: Bacterial small subunit ribosomal RNA
Source: RNAcentral
CAGUCGCCGCGGUAAUACGUAGGGUGCGAGCGUUAUUCGGAAUUACUGGGCGUAAAGCGUGCGCAGGCGGUUAUAUAAGACAGAUGUGAAAUCCCCGGGCUCAACCUGGGACCUGCAUUUGUGACUGUAUAGCUAGAGUACGGUAGAGGGGGAUGGAAUUCCGCGUGUAGCAGUGAAAUGCGUAGAUAUGCGGAGGAACACCGAUGGCGAAGGCAAUCCCCUGGACCUGUACUGACGCUCAUGCACGAAAGCGUGGGGAGCAAACAGGAUUAGAUACCCGCGUAGUCCCUGUCUCUUAUAA